This 482-nucleotide ribosomal RNA is filed under the name uncultured bacterium. RNAcentral's name for it is "partial 16S ribosomal RNA". It matches the Rfam family "Bacterial small subunit ribosomal RNA", at positions 30 to 507 of the family's 1533-position model. The record is from RNAcentral.
AUUGAACGCUGGCGGCAUGCCUUACACAUGCAAGUCGAACGGUAACGGGCCUUCGGGUGCCGACGAGUGGCGAACGGGUGAGUAAUACAUCGGAACGUGCCCGAUCGUGGGGGAUAACGAGGCGAAAGCUUUGCUAAUACCGCAUACGAUCUACGGAUGAAAGCAGGGGACCGCAAGGCCUUGCGCGGACGGAGCGGCCGAUGGCAGAUUAGGUGGUUGGUGGGAUAAAAGCUUACCAAGCCGACGAUCUGUAGCUGGUCUGAGAGGACGAUCAGCCACACUGGGACUGAGACACGGCCCAGACUCCUACGGGAGGCAGCAGUGGGGAAUUUUGGACAAUGGGCGCAAGCCUGAUCCAGCCAUGCCGCGUGCAGGAUGAAGGCCUUCGGGUUGUAAACUGCUUUUGUACGGAACGAAAAGCCUUCUUUUAAUACAGGAGGGUCAUGACGGUACCGUAAGAAUAAGCACCGGCUAACUACGUG